CCGGAUGGGCUACUCGCCUUUCUUUUCUCUCUCUCGCUCGCUCGCUCUACUGCUCUCGCUCUCUCCUGCGCUCGCUCUUACUGCAAAACUAGGUCAAUUGGGAACCCACCUGCAUAUUGAUUGCAGGCUGGCACCAGGUAUAAAGCUAAGCCGGUGCUUCUUUGGAUUAUUCCUUCCAUGCAUUCAGCGCAAAGCAGCAGUAAAUGCUGACACUCUGCGACGGACUGAUCGGCAAGAGUAGAUCAUAUGACAGCCACAGCGCGGCAGGUUGUUUUAUUCCGGCGUUGCGGAGAGAGGUGCUUGUGUGAUUUCCCCCACCAGUGAGAGUAUAACGCUUCCGGUCCUGGGGUAAGCUGUUCAAACUAUUUUUAUUAGCGUUCACCACUACAAGAGGCUAAGGUUAUAUUUGUCUGUUUUAGGGUGUGAUCGCUGCCUUCACCUCCGUGGCAACUCACACAGCCUUAAGUGAAGAAUCAAGACACCUGCCUAGCCGUUGUUGUGAGGGCUCCUCCUCAGUGGAGCCUGCUGUCUUGUCUUGUCUUGUUUGGUUUUGAAUUGUUUUACCUUGUCUUAUUUGGUUUUAUUAAGUAGGCCUACCAUUUCCUGGUUCGCCUGGUUUUAUUUUAUUCUAUUUUAUUUCUGAACUGUGGCGUGUGCCCACGCUUCUGUGAUCGGGCUGAAGCAAUCCUUUGCCCGAGUGUCGUGCCGGGAAUUUUAAAUUGCCUCCGUUGCUGGUCUUAGCCUGUGGGGAGCCAGACCAGCUGGCGAUUGAGGCUGGGACGACUACUACCAGUACGAGUGGACCCGUGGGGCAUAAGCCUUCCAUUGUGUGGACGAAGGACGUGCCAGUGGCCCUGGGACCUCAGGUGGUGGGUCGUUUUCACACUUUCUUUUGUACAGCACCGGGUGGGCUGCAGUGAUUUUCGUUUUGUGUGAUUUUCUUUUGGGUCCACGGCUGCUGGUAAGUCAAAGUUCCAUGUUUGUUUUAUUUUCACGUUAAGACACUGUCAACAAUGACGCUACAUUUUGGUUUCUAAUAUUUUAUUUAUUUUUAUUAUAAAUAAACUGUUUUAAUAUUGGAGCCAA
Oreochromis niloticus (Nile tilapia) is the source of this 1086-nucleotide long non-coding RNA. RefSeq lists it as uncharacterized. The record is from RefSeq and is a predicted model, not a curated record. Lineage: Eukaryota; Metazoa; Chordata; Actinopteri; Cichliformes; Cichlidae. The transcript is spliced from 3 exons.